Cyprinus carpio carpio is the source of this 2575-nucleotide long non-coding RNA. NCBI's taxonomy places the organism in Eukaryota, Metazoa, Chordata, Actinopteri, Cypriniformes, Cyprinidae. The record is from Ensembl.
GGGGAAACAGAUAUCUUCUGGGUGGGAAUGAAGAGCAUUUUGGCUCAGUUGACCUGUUGAUCCACUUGCAGACUUUAUCUCCAGUUUAACCUGAUGUAGGAUGCAAACAACCUCUUAUCAUCUUGAAUCCCUGCAGUUGAGUCAUGAUAAGCACGUAGCUUAUUGAGACAUCCUGUUGCCAAAUAUUGGUAUUUGCAUUUACAUUUAUGCAUUUAGCAGACGCUUUUAUCCAAAGCGACUUACAGUGCAUUCAGGCUAUACAUUUUUUUACCUAACUUGUGUUCCCCUGGGAAUCGAACCCACAACCUUUUGCGUUGCUAACGCUCUACCACUGACCCACAGGAACAUAUUUAAAUUGUGAUAAGGGGGUGGACGCCACUGUCCAUUGAGUAGACCUUCGUGACCCAGCUUCAUUCAGUCUGUCACAGCAGGAUACUUUUAAAGUUUUUUCCACCACAUCCCCAAGACGAAUCUAAUUUUUCCCUCAUUGAUUUAACUAUCUUCUCUAAGGUAGAAAGUAAUGCUAUAAGAAAGGAGCUUGACAAACUUUGGUGGAUCUAGCAGGCUAAGCGAUCCAACAUCAUUCGUCCAUUCAUCAGUCCAUCAAAGCAGGAUGUUAGAGAGGUGCCCUGUGCUUCUUUACCAUAUCUCCAAGAUAUCCCCACUCAGUGAAUCAGCAAUCUUCAAUAAAGUAGAAGUUAAUUCUAGAAGAAAGGAGCUUGACGAUGUUUGGUGGAUCUACAGACUUGACCUGGAUCACCAGACCACUGUGGGAUGAUUAACUGGCAAUAGCAACAGGGGAAUACAAAGGUCUUAUGCUAGGAUGCAAAAACAGGCGCCGAUAUCCGCUGGUACCCUCGCUGCAGGAACAUUGGACUCAAACAUACCUGUAAUCUGAAUGUCACCUGGAGGAUUGUAGAAUAAAAAGAUAACAGUAAUAUUGUUGUCAUUAGUAUUUUGUUGUACAUCCAUAUUGUUGCCAUUGUUAUUUAUAUAUUACUUAAUAACAUAUUACAAUGUUGUCAGUCUGAGCAAAAUAAAUUAAUUUGAGGUUUUGCUUGGAACAUGGCAAUUAAUGGAGAUGGGAGAAUGAAGUUGGGAGAGAGUUGGAUUGCAAAAGCAUCUGUCCUGAGUACUUGUGGUAAACCAUUCCACACCAGCACUUAACAGCACUUGGGCUGCUGGGUUGAACAAUAGAAGAUCAUGUUACAAGCCAAGCUUGAUGCUCAUGAAAUCUUUAGCUGAGGCUGCUGUAGUGCACGCAAGCCACGUGUUUUGAAGUUUAUUAAUAAAUCUGUUUCUUGCCAUGAUGUGUGUCAUGGCUAGUUUAUUAGUAAGGGUGUUUACACCUUCUCCUAAACCGCAGUAUCACUCAUUGCCUCAAGCACAUCGUAAGUUUCACAACUGGUUGAGUAAGGUGUAAAGAGCUGAACAGAAAAAGUAGGAUUUUCAGUUUUCCUUUACUCUGUCAGCUGGAUUCCCCAGCCACAGUUUGACCUAACAUCUCUUGAGCCAAGUCUUCCAUUGUAUAGAAAGCUGGAUUGAAACAUCUGAAUGAGAAUGGAUUGUACUCAUUAAAAGUAACUCAGUGUCUCUGACCCUGUGUGCACUGGUCCAUAGACCAAAUCCCUGCUCUCCACACCCCUUCUGCUGUCUGUUUGAGGCACUUUGAUUAGCCUCAGCUGGAACAAUAACACCCUGCAUUACAGGUCUGCACUGGGUGGAGGACGAGGGAGAACUCCAGCGUUCUGUCAUAACGAAACAGUAGCACAGGGACGAUCUCUCUUGGUCCCUACACAGAAAAGGGAGGUGUUUUUGUUUAUCGACAGUACAGUGUUUUACUCAAUGUAGUGUUCCAGAAGAAAGUCAAGAUGUGUUUCCAUCUAUGAACCAAUGUGUCUCUUUCAGAAAGUGCCAGCUUAUAGUGCAACAUGAAAAUCAUUGACUGCCCGAUUUUAUUUUUGCGGUUCUGCUGAAAUGGUCCAGUGUCUCACUUCAACAUUAAGUAAGUUUGUGAGGAGCAGAAAGGGUUAAGGCCUCUUAAUUUAAAAACACACAUGGCUUUCAUCAAGACAUUAGAGAUUUGUAGAGGUGGUAGAUUAAAUCUGGAACUUGUGAUAUUCCUUGCAGAAAAAAAAAAAAAAUUCACUUGGCCUGUUUUGGUUGGUCACGCAGAUACACUUUGAAGUCUAGCAGCAAAUUUGCCACCCUGCCCUGCCAAAGCCUGAUCAACAGCAAUGCCUUUAUUCUUAUAAACACAUUUCAAAAUGAAAGCAGUGAGUAUAAUGUUUAAUUAGGGCUGUACACUUUUGCUCCAGGGUACAGAUUUGCCGUCCUUAAUAUGUUUGAGAAAGAUGUUCUUAGGGUGCUUGUUGACAGAACAUUGAGAGUGAAGCUUUCUCCGUUACACCUGCUUGGCGCAUUGGCUGGGGUUUCUUGUAAUUUUUAUGUACUUUGCAUUGAGUCAUUUCUUUCAGUUAAAUCCUUUUGAGGGGGCUUUGUUUGUUUAAAUCUUUAGUGCCUAUUAAAGAUACCAUUUAACAUUUUACAUGUCAGCACAAAAAAUGAAGGUGAU